This 429-nucleotide ribosomal RNA is filed under the name Acidobacteriota bacterium. RNAcentral's name for it is "Acidobacteria bacterium partial 16S ribosomal RNA". It matches the Rfam family "Bacterial small subunit ribosomal RNA", at positions 355 to 776 of the family's 1533-position model. The record is from RNAcentral. Lineage: Bacteria; Pseudomonadati; Acidobacteriota.
UGGGGAAUUUUGGACAAUGGGCGCAAGCCUGAUCCAGCCAUGCCGCGUGCGGGAAGAAGGCCUUCGGGUUGUAAACCGCUUUUGUCAGGGAAGAAAAGGUUCUGGUUAAUACCUGGGACUCAUGACGGUACCUGAAGAAUAAGCACCGGCUAACUACGUGCCAGCAGCCGCGGUAAUACGUAGGGUGCAAGCGUUAAUCGGAAUUACUGGGCGUAAAGCGUGCGCAGGCGGUUAUGCAAGACAGAGGUGAAAUCCCCGGGCUCAACCUGGGAACUGCCUUUGUGACUGCAUAGCUAGAGUACGGUAGAGGGGAAUGGAAUUCCGCGUGUAGCAGUGAAAUGCGUAGAUAUGCGGAGGAACACCGAUGGCGAAGGCAAUCCCCUGGACCUGUACUGACGCUCAUGCACGAAAGCGUGGGGAGCAAACAGG